Folsomia candida is the source of this 72-nucleotide transfer RNA. It matches the Rfam family "tRNA". From Rfam's summary of the family: Transfer RNA (tRNA) molecules are approximately 80 nucleotides in length. Their secondary structure includes four short double-helical elements and three loops (D, anti-codon, and T loops). Lineage: Eukaryota; Metazoa; Arthropoda; Collembola; Entomobryomorpha; Isotomidae. The record is from Rfam.
GGCGUUGUGGGGAAAGUGGUAACUCGGUAGUCUGGUGAACGAAAAGUUGCCGGUUCGAUUCCGGUCAGCCCA